AGCCCUGUGGUGUAAUUGGCAACAUCGCGCCCUUUGAAGGCGGAGAUUCCAGGUUCGAGUCCUGGCGGGGCUGCCA
RNAcentral lists this transfer RNA (76 nucleotides) under Dendronalium phyllosphericum CENA369. Its description in RNAcentral is "tRNA-Gln". It matches the Rfam family "tRNA". From Rfam's summary of the family: Transfer RNA (tRNA) molecules are approximately 80 nucleotides in length. Lineage: Bacteria; Bacillati; Cyanobacteriota; Cyanophyceae; Nostocales; Nostocaceae. The record is from RNAcentral.